This 2390-nucleotide long non-coding RNA is filed under the name Homo sapiens (human). RNAcentral's name for it is "HSALNT0112253". The record is from RNAcentral. Lineage: Eukaryota; Metazoa; Chordata; Mammalia; Primates; Hominidae.
GUCACUUUUAGAAUAAGUGCGAUGUGGUGCUGAGAAGAAUUUAUAUUCUGUCGAUUUGGAAUAGAGAGAUCUGUAGAUGUAUAUUAGGUCUGCUUGGGCCAGAGCUGAGUUCAAGUCCUGAAUAUCCUUGUUAAUUUUCUGUCUCAUUGAAUCUGACUAAUAUUGACAGUGGGGUGUUAAGUUCUCCCACUAUUAUUGUGUGGGAGUCUAAGUCUCUUUGUAGGUAUCUAAGAACUUGCUUUAUGAAUCUGGGUGCUCCUGUAUUGGGUUCAUAUAUACUUAGGAUAGUUAACUCUUCUUGUUGCAUUGAAACUUUUACCAUUAUGUAAUGCCCUUCUUUGUCUUUUUUGAUCUUUGUUGGAUUAAAGUCUAUUUUCUCAGAGACUAGGAUUGCAGCCCCUGCUUUUUUUUUUCUUUUGCUUUCCAUUUGCUUGGUAAAUAUUCCUCCAUCCCUUUAUUUUGAUCCUAUGUGUGUCUUUGCACAUGAGAUGUGUCUCCUGAAUACAGCACAUUAAUGGAUCUUGACUGUUUAUCCAAUUUGCCAGUCUACGUCUUUUAAUUGGGGCAUUUAGCCCGUUUACAUUUAAGGUUAUAUUGUUACAUGUGAAUUUGAUCUUGUCAUUAUGAUGUUAGCUGGUUAUUUUGCCCAUUAGUUGAGGCAGUUUCUUCCUAGUGUCAAUGGUCUUUACAUUUUGGUAAGGUUUCGCAGUGGCUGGUACUGUUUUUUCCUUUCCAUGUUUAGUGCUUCCUUAAGGAGCUCUUAUAAUGUAUGUCUGGUGGUGACAAAAUCCCUCAGCAUUUGCUUCUCUGCAAAGGAUUUUAUUUCUCCUUCGCUUAUGAAGCUUAGUUUGGCUGGUUAUGAAAUUCUUGGUUGAAAAUUCUUUUCUUUAAGAAUGUUGAAUAUUGGCCCCCGCUAUCUUCUGGCUUGUAGGGUUUCUGCUGAGAGAUUCACUGUUAGUCUGAUGGGCUUCCCUUUGUGGGUAACCCGACUUUUCUCUCUGGCUGCCCUUAACAUUUUUUCCUUCAUUUCAACCUUGGUGAAUCUGAAGAUUAUGUGUCUUGGCGUUGCUCUUCUCGAGGAGUAUAUUUGUGGUGUUCUCUGUAUUUCCUGAAUUUGAAUGUUGGCCUUUCUUGCUAGGUUGGGGAAGUUCUGUAUAAUAUCCUGAAGAGUGUUUUCCACCUUGGUUCCAUUCUCCCCAUCACUUUCAGGUACACCAAUCAAACGUAGGUUUGGUCUUUUCACAUAGUCCCAUAUUUCUUGGAGGCUUAGUUUGUUCCUUUUCAUUCUUUUUUCUGUAAUCUUCUCUUCACACUUUAUUUCAUUAAGUUGAUCUUCAUUCUCUUGAAGAUUGAUUUCCUCUGCUUGAUCGAUUUGGCUAUUUAUACUUGUAUAUGCUUCACGAAGUUCUUGUGUUGAGAUUUUCAGCUCCAUCAGGUCAUUUAUAUUCUUCUUUAAACUGGUUAUUCUAACUAGCAGUUCCUGUAACCUUUUACCCGUGUUCUUAGCUUCCUGGCAUUGGGUUAGAACAUGCUCCUUUAGCUGGAAGGAGUUUGUUAUUACCCCCCUUCGAAGCCUACUUCUGUCAAUUUGUGAAACUCAUUCUCCAUCCAGUUUUGUUCCCUUGCUGGUGAGGAACUGUGAUCCUUUGGAGGAGAAGAGGCAUUCGGUUUUUGGAAUUUUCCACUUUUUGUGCUGGAUUUUCCCUCAUCUUUGUGGAUUUAUCUACCUUUGGUCUUUGAUGUUGGUGACCUUCUGAUGGUGUUUUUGUGUGGGCGUCGUUCUGUGGAUGUUGAUGCUAUUGCUUUCUGCUUGUUAGUUUUCCUUCUAACAUUCAGGUCCCUCUGCUGCAGGUCUACUGGAGUUUGCUGGAGGUCUACUCCAGACCCUGUUUGCCCAGGUAUCACCAGCAGAGGCUGCAGAACAGGAAAGUUUGCUGCCUGCCCUCUCCUCUGGAAGCUUCAUCCCAGAGGGGCACCCGCCAGACACCAGAUCUUCACAUAUAUCUCAAGAUAUUUAAUGAAAUGUAAACACUCAUGAUAACUACAGUAGUGAAAAGAAUGUGAUUCUUCUAUAUAAAUGCAUCUAGAUCAUUUGCUUCCUGUAAAAUAUACCAUUAAUGCAAAGAUUAAUUUUUAAUUUUCUUACAUGUCAACAGUUCCAUUUAUUUAAUAGAGGCUUAAAAUUAUGAUUUUUUUCUUUGUAUAUUAAAGUUUUCAUUUUUAUUUUCAAAAACCAAACUAAUGUGGUAAGAAGCCAAGAUAUUUACACAUCCCCCCAAAAGGAAUAUCCUGAAGAAGUAAUAUUGUCCAAUAAUCAGAGAACAGACAAAUGUAGAAGGGAAGAACCUGUGUACUCAAUUAUUUGAUUGCUAAAUAUUUGCUGAACAAUG